Neogale vison (American mink) is the source of this 4060-nucleotide long non-coding RNA. RefSeq lists it as uncharacterized. NCBI's taxonomy places the organism in Eukaryota, Metazoa, Chordata, Mammalia, Carnivora, Mustelidae. The record is from RefSeq and is a predicted model, not a curated record. The transcript is spliced from 5 exons.
GCUUUCCCCCUCCCCUUCAGUGCGACAAUCUCAGAGCUGAUGGAGAAGCAGAGCGUGUGCAGCUGGAUAAAUUCGUAGAUGGGGAAUUUCUGGAUCAAAUGGAGGAGACUGGACAAUUGAGAGAGCCCUUGGAAGAGGGGAAGAGGGGAAGAGGGCUUCGUUACCAGUGUGUAUUUGCCACCUAGUGACCAUAGUGAAUGGUGAUAUUUGUCCUUCUUGGCUGAGCCCGGUGGCCUGACCUUAACUCCCGAGUUCCGUGGUCAUGUAGCAACUGCAAGUCAAUGUCAUACAAACUUUGAGUUGACCUAGUGUGUACCUUGGAGAGUUUUGGAACAAUAUGCAGGGGAGAAGAGGCUGGACCUUCGGGCCUUGUCAUUCAAACCCGUUCCACAAGAUGCGGAAAGGCCACACACUGAGAGUCGAGCCUUGGGAUGCAGACUCCGACAGCUCUCUCUGAUGACGUGCUGAUCCACGUGCCAGAAGAUGAAAGCAGCGCAGAAGAGCUUAUCUCCAGACAAAACCCAAGUGUCUGGCUUCUUUCCCCAUAUCUGCUGUGAUGACCAGCAUUUGUAUUGAUGCAUGCUUGUGUUCACCUUGAGAUCGGAGAGAAAUAGAAAUUAAUUGCCCACUAAUCACAAUUGCUGAUGCAAAAUUAGGAAAAUACCAACAAGCUUCAGUUUACUUUGUGUUUUAUUUGAGUGAACAGACCAAUGGUCUGGGCUGUCCUAAUACUCCCUUCCCUGCCCCCAGUUUUCCCCCAAAGCUCGUGAGUCCCUCCAACAGAAAUUCCUCUACAGCGAGAGUUUCAGGAACUCAACUCUCAUACCUAGGGAGGGGAGUUACUCUACUUGGUUGCACAAUCUGAUUUUGUACUCUCGCUCCUGAAAUUUAUUUUAAUUCUGUUUAAGCCCAACUUGCUCUUGCAGCAGAAAGAAUCCAGACCCUUGCCCUUUACCUGGUUUGGUAUCAGUGAACUUGCUUUGCAGCGGUUGUAUGAGGUAGCUAUGGGUCAGUCUCGAAGGGCAGUGCAAUGACAAUGGACUCCUGCAUUUACUCUGGCAUCUAAUUGAGGAGUAGAUGCUGCUAGAGUUCAUUUCCAUUGAUCUCUGUUCUCAUAUCUGGUCUUCCCAGGAAUCUGAACAUCUGAAUAUCCUCCGGGAAAGGGGUUCUGACUGAAACUUCUUCCCUUAGGGUGGUGGAAAUCCAAUCAUUCCCCCCACCCCCAGCCUGGAGGUCUGAACGAUAGCCUAGCUAUACUUGAGUUUGAAGUGAGCAGAGGAAAGGGGAAAAAAAUACAAAAGUUAAAAGGGCUUGCUCGCAUAGUUACAGUUGAGAUGACAGAUAUUCCUCAGUAGGUUCAAAAGAGGCAGAUGAGACUUGAAAACUCGUUUUCAGGUGCUGCGGUUCUAGUGACCCCCGCCCCCCCACAGUGCCAGAGAAGCCUACAUGCCUGCUCUAAGCCAUAGCAGUUCUCAACGCAUCCAGAUCAUGUUAGGGAGCUUUGAAAAAUACAGAGUUCUGGGACCUGCCCCUAGAUGUGCUGAAUCAGGGAUGGGGUCAGCAUCUGUAAAUUUUGAAAGCUCCUCAACUGUUUUUUUUUAAUAUACAGCCAUGGCUGCUAACUGCUGCUCUAAGUCUAAACAGAAUUGUAAUAGAAAAUAUAAUGCAAAUGGUGGUGGACCCAGGAUCUAGGGAAACUUUAUUCCAAAUUUUGGCUCUACUACUAGCUCAAUGGAUGGUUUUAUUCAAACCACCCUACUCUUUCCUUACCCAUCAAAUGAGAGAUUAGGACCACUUGGUCUCCAAGGUCCCUCUAUCUCUGGCAUUGUUACCUUGAGAGAAAGCUGCUUCAGUCUUCUUGAGUGUACCUGAGCCCUUUCAUAGAGACCAAGGUAAGUAGUAGUGUCGCUGCGCUGUGUUCUUGAUGUUUUAAAAAUGGUGGCUUCUGGUUCAAGUUUGACCUUGGUUUAGUCCCUUCCAGAAAAGAGAGUUAGGCAUAGAAAAAAAAGAAACAAACACCACAUCAAUUUCCUGAAAGGAAAGACAGAGAGGGCCUCCUAUGAGUUUAUUUGUAGUAAUUGUUCUUUUUCUUCUGAGUUACAGGGCUUGGGGAAAAUAAUAGAUAUUAUGAGGAAAACACCUUAACAUGUUGUAGCUAUUGUUUUCAUAAACCAAAGCAGAGAGAACUCUGUGUCAGGGUUGCUGUUCCAAGGUUCCAUGGAUAAUUGGUGUAUUCUUAAUCAUAUCUAGAGGUAAAUAGUUUUAAGUCAAUGAUUAUUUUACCAGUUUAAUCAAUGCUUCCAUAUGCCUUUAGAGAAUGUAGUUUCCUGAUAAAUUUUACCAUUCACUGAGAUUAUUGCCUUGGAAAUUUUUCUCUUAAUUUGACUAGAAUUAGAGAAAUCAAAUUUAAGUUGGAGAGCAUCAACUGGGAACCAUUAAUAUAAAAUAAUACAAUGGGAAACUGACUACUGUAUGGAUUUAGUUGUCAGAGGGAUGCCUAGACUUUGACUUGAUAGAUGCAAACUUUUGUCUAGGGACCAGGCCUUUUGAAAUACAUUACUAAGAUAAAUCUAAUUCUUGUUUAAGGUAAUACCCAGUUAAAAUAAUCUAAGAAGUAUCAUUGAUGAGGAUAAAAGCCAGAACAUUUCAACAUGGCUGAAUUUAACAAGUCAGCAGAACUUACAGGUGAAUUUGAAAGUUGGUACAGGCAAAGUGGUAGAAAUAGAAGUGCAUAUAACUGGGUGUUUCUUUUUUUCCUUUUUCAAAUUAAGAAUAGUCCCCGAAAUUGACAAGCUGAAAUUUCUUUUAGAAGAUUUUAUACACAAUUUGGGUGGAAUCAAACGGUUCUGGUAAAUUCUUGGGUUUAGUGUUACGAAGUGCCUAGCAGUUUUCUUCUUUACAGACAUACUUUACCGCUGACAAAAAGAAAAGAAUGGAAAAGGAGGUGGGGAGAAAGAGCAGCCCAAGUUGCUGAACUUUGUAGAGAAUAUUAAAAAACCGGUGUUACAUUUCAAAAGAACCUUUUGUUUGUUUAAGAUCUUUUAAGUUCAAAAUGCAGAGGAGGUUCUGCACACAUUUGCAAAUGCACACAUUUGGAUUUCAGAGCUGCUGCCACCUGAAGGCUGAUAAAGGGCUUCGAGAGUGUGUGUAGUCUAAAGGGGUGUGUGAACCAUGUUUGUGCUAUGGAAUAACUGAUCACUGAACUUUACAUAGAGUUACCUUUUAAUGGUCUUGAUGUCAGUGCUCUAUGUUUGUUUAAGAAUCCAGAAAUAAAUUGUGGCAUGGACAGAGUAUAUAUGCUCUUGGGAGCCAUAACAUCAAAUAAAGGCUAAACAGUACAUUUCAUUAACACGAACAAUGAAUGUUGAGGAGUUAAAUAUGAAUCUAGUUGUGCUUCAGACAUCGCACUUCCUCUUACACUACUAUGUAAAGCCAGUGAUACAAUUAACCUAUUUUUGCAAACACCCAGAGUUGGCUCUGGGUCAGUUGGCAGUGAUGUGAUGAGGGCCAUACUGAGAAGAGCAUGGGACUUAGGUAAGGGGAGCUUUGCCACUGGCUUCUUGUCUGCCCUGGGCGAGGGGGGUCUUCCUCUCUUUGGAUGAGUGGUGCUUAGUCCUGGCACCAUAACCCUUGGGCUAUUGGGGUGUGACAAGUCAGCUCAGGGCCUAGGCUGUGGAGUCAGACCUGCCUUCAAUCUUGUCCCUGCCAGCUACCAACUAUGUGAUGGUGGGCAUGCGUCUUAACCGUUUCAGACUUGACUUUCUAAUCUGUAAAAUGGGGUCAAAAUACCUGCAUUGUUAGAUUGCUAUGAGAUUACAAGAAAUGCUUAAUACAGUGCCUGGCACAUAGCAAGCGCUCAAUAAAUUGUUGCUAUUAGAUGUUAUUAUUAUUAUCAUCACCAUUAUUGUUAUUGUUAUUAUAAGCAUUAUAGAGCUAAAUAUGAUAGUUUACUCCUGUCUUUGCAAAAUUUUACUAUUUUGGUAUUUUAUCUAAUUCCUCUCAAAAAUCGUAUGCAUGAUGGUUUUAAGAAGAGAGCAGGAAUAAAAAUUGAUUUUCAGUA